Molecule: ribosomal RNA, 95 nt
Filed under: Metaclostridioides mangenotii
Lineage: Bacteria; Bacillati; Bacillota; Clostridia; Peptostreptococcales; Peptostreptococcaceae
Source: RNAcentral
AUACACCUGUUCCCAUUCCGAACACAGAAGUUAAGCUCUCUUGCGCUGAUGGUACUUGGUGGGAAACUGCCUGGGAGAGUAAGACGUAGCCGCGU